ACCACACCACCAUGAACACAGCAAUUCUGCUUGAUUUUGGAAGCUAAGCAGGGUUGGACUCAGUUUGUACUGUGAUGGAGAUGACCAGGGAAUAUCAGAAAU
This 102-nucleotide ribosomal RNA is filed under the name Pogona vitticeps (central bearded dragon). The record is from RNAcentral. Lineage: Eukaryota; Metazoa; Chordata; Lepidosauria; Squamata; Agamidae.